AUGGACCUACGGGGCGCAGCAGUGGGGAAUCUUCCGCAAUGGGCGAAAGCCUGACGGAGCAACGCCGCGUGAAUGAUGAAGGUCUUCGGAUUGUAAAGUUCUUUUCUAAGGGAAGAAGAAAGUGACGGUACCUUAGGAAUAAGCCUCGGCUAACUACGUGCCAGCAGCCGCGGUAAUACGUAGGAGGCAAGCGUUAUCCGGAAUGACUGGGCGUAAAGGGUGCGUAGGUGGUUUGACAAGUUGGUAGCGUAACUCCGGGGCUCAACCUCGGCACUACUACCAAAACUGUUGGACUUGAGUGCAGG
Molecule: ribosomal RNA, 305 nt
Filed under: uncultured bacterium
Lineage: Bacteria
Description: bacterial SSU rRNA
Rfam family: Bacterial small subunit ribosomal RNA
Source: RNAcentral